GCUCUCCCUGCAGGUACACGAAGAGGAAUGACUGUGUGCCAAGACAUUUUGUUUGCAAACAGGCUGAGGACUAUACUAUUCACAACAGCCCAGGACCCAACCGAGCGUCCACUGGCGGAUAACAGAGAUGCGCUGUAAAACAACGGAAGAGUAGCCAGCCGCAUAAAGGAGCGGAGCGUGGCCUUGGCGUGGUCACAAGCCCAGCACGGAAAGACAGAGCACGCGGUCUACUUACAUGAGGAGGCUAAAAGUUGAUGCCACCCAGCGGCACUGCAUAUGUACCAUAUGACCUGACGGCAAUUGGGAACCAUGUACUUCUCGGAUUAUCAAGAAGAAAAACACAAAGCUUCCCGCUCCUAGGACAGUUACGAGAGCACCCCCUUUCGGUGAACAGAGAGCAGUGUGUGCAUCAGAAUCGGGAUUAAUCAAGAACUGCCUAUGGAAUGCUGUGCUCAAGAGAAAACCCACCAGAAGCCAAGGCUGUAUACCGAAAUAAGAGGUGUACACAUAAGGAGACGACUCCCUAGGGGCUGCUCACGUUUUCAUGCUGCUUGUGAACAGAAGCACUGGCUGCCUUUACUCUGACUUUUCUUCCCAGAGACACAGGAAAUGUCUCCCUUUGUGGCAAGUUUGCUCAUUCUAAUAUAAGAUAUUGUCUCCUGUGCAUUAAAAAAGAACUGGGUUCCCUGAGCUCAGGGUUCCUGUCCUGUCUGUGUUGCAUCCGGGGCAGCAGGGGCAAGGAGAAGUGACAUAAGGACAUGGAUGUGCACGUCACUUGCUGUGCUCAAAGUCUCUUGUCUCUGACCAAGAAGCCGCUGCUCUUCUGCCGGCUCUCAGGACCAGCUGCCAGGCGACCUUGGAAACUUAAAUGACAAAUUUUCUAACUAUAUCACUGAGAAGACAGAGGGACCAAGCAUAUCCAUGUAAACUGUGUUUACGUGAAAGGAUAAUUUCUUCCAUGUUGUUAAUGUCACCAAAUUUUACUUUCCUGCAUCCUUAAAAGGUUUUCAUAUUUUAACACACAUGAAGCACUGUGAAGAAAUACACUGAUAGAAAAGGCAGUACACCAAAGAUAAUGUAAAGGCUGGGAGCUUCAAAGCUUACACGGGGCUGCAGAUGUGACGAGAAAGGUUCAUGGAGAUGGGAGUUCCAGAAGGAAAGUCACUUUGGGAAACACUGUCUCCUGCAUUAAAAAGAAAUUAUUACAAGUCUAAAAAAAGAAUCCAAAUGUAUUAGGAUGCACAGAUUACUAGCAUUAUUAAUCCCAAUGAACGCUUUUAUUUUUCACUUUAAACUGAUGUCCUCACAGUCAUUUAAUUUUUAAAAACCCUUUUAUAAUUUAUCUUUUCAUUGAAAAGUUAAUAAUGAAUCAACAUUUAACUUUAUGAAUUUUGGAUUAAUAAUAUAUUACCUUGUGGAGAAGAGUUAAAACUGUCAAUAUGAUGUAACUUUUUAGUAGAACCUUUAUCCUGAUAAAGAAAUUUAGCUAUAUGAUUAUAGUGCUCACCUCUUCAGUUUAAAAAGGCAAUAUAUAUGUCUAUUGUAGGAAAUCUACAAAAAGAAGUCAAAGUUUGAAGAAGAGAAAUUAUAAAUUACCUACAAUUAUCCUAUCACUAUGGGCACUUAGGUAUACUGCCUUAAAGUCUCUUUUACAUGUGUCUGUGUGUAAAAAAGUGGAAUCAUACUCCAUCUAUACUUUGCCUUUUUGGUCUUUUAUACCAUUUAUUACCUUAAGGACAUUUCCCUACCAUUACAUAAUCUUCAAAUGCAACUUACAGACUACAUACGACACUACACCACCACAUAGCAACACUGUUAGCAACUUUUAUCAUUCGUCUAAUGUUGCCCUUACCCUCCAAGCAAAAACUGCACUUGUAUUUUUCCUUAACGUUACAGACUGACUUUGCAAAGUCUCAUGUUGUUAGCACUGCCAGGGAAAUCCUUAGUCUUCAGUGGUAGCUGUGUGAACUGUAAGCUGUGAAAGCCAGACCUCCUGCAGCCAAGAAAACCACCCCCACCAGGCAAGAUGCCGAGUGCCGCCCUUCACCUAAGUCCGCGCAUUUCCGGAACGGUGAGACUGCCCCAAGGAGGAACCUGGUCUGUACCUUGGACCCGGAGAAAAUCUGGUCUUUGUGUGUAUAAAGCACUGAACUCAGCAAUACACAGAUACACAGUGUGUGGGGGUGAUUUAAAAAGAUUAUGAGGGUCAUUAGGAAAACGCUAAGAGGCCGGGUUGGGGUGUGGGGAACACAGCGCUGAGGUGCACUGGCUGGGGCCCCAGGCGGCCUCCCCAGGCCUGCUUUCCUGUGACCAGUGCACUGGGCUCCUGGACAGGACCCUCUGUGGUAGAGAGGGAAAAGGGAAGCGCACAGCUGCAGGUACCCCAGGAGGGUCUCUGUGGAGUGUGUAGGUCACGCUGAGUGAAGAGGGCAGAGGUGGGGGUGUACAGUGUGUGUGUGUGCGCGCGUGCGUGUGUGCAUGUGUGUCCUGGGGAGAGAGGCCCUAGGCUGAGCUACUGCUCAGCAAACCACAAACCCUGCUCAGCCCAUGUGGUCACAGCAACAGGACAGGGACACUGCCCUUCUCAUGGGCUCCUGGGCACUGUGUGAGUGGUCACAAGACGUGAACGGCUGGGCCUCAAGGCCUUCUUCCUCUUUCAUGAGGUUAAAAGUUUACUGUGCUGAAAAUUUAGUUAAAAGGAAUGAACUAAUUUUUGUACACAGGACUAUAAAAAACAAUGCUGAGUGAAAAAAGCAAGACAGAGAAAGUUCAAGUAGGAUUUCAUUUAUAUAAGCUGAAAACAAGCACUUCUACAUUCUGCUGAUGGAUGUAUGAAUGUAAAUUCAAAAUGGACUAAGUAUACACCACAUCGUGACAGGAGACACUGAGUCAGAAAGGAAAAGUAAACAGAUAAUAAAGUAUUUUCUUCUCAAAAAAAUACUAGAAGAAAAUGUGAAAAAAUUAAUAAUUCUGGAUAGAAAUAUACAUGCUUCUUUGAUCUCUCCUGUAUCAUUAAAUUUCUCAAAAAUAAGGGAAGUCAAGACUCACAACAGCAUUAUUCA
Heterocephalus glaber (naked mole-rat) is the source of this 3062-nucleotide long non-coding RNA. RefSeq lists it as uncharacterized. NCBI's taxonomy places the organism in Eukaryota, Metazoa, Chordata, Mammalia, Rodentia, Bathyergidae. The record is from RefSeq and is a predicted model, not a curated record.